UUGGUCUUCUGAUCACUCUUGCCGUUAGGUUUUGCCACAAUCGCCGAGGCAGCAGUAGACUUCCCGUGUGGCUUCAUAGUCACGGAGGAAGCGAACGUCUUCUCGUUGGUCUUCUGAUCGCUGGAGACCGCAGAGUUGUCUUUGGAUUCCAUCGAGAUAGUUACUUGAGAGAAUCUUAUGGAUUUUAAUGGAAACAUAAACUAUGGAAAGAGAUUUAUAAAUAGAGAAACGAAGAGGAAGGUGAAAGGAAUCCAUUGAUUAAGUUCAAUAAGAUGAUUGAUUAGAUCAGAUAGUGGUGAAACGGAUCUGGAGAAGAGUAACGAAAGAGGUGGAAAGGGAAAGGCAAGAGAAGAAGAAGAUACGACAGUCGGCUGAGAAGAAAGAAACGAUACUUUGGAAAAUUGUUGGUGAUGACCUGGGCUUAAAAUAUUUUUAAAAGCCCACUAAAUCAGAUUAGUUUUUAUGACCCAAACACAUAUUCAAAAACUCGUAUUUCUCUAAUGAAAUCUCUAAUGAAAAUAUACAAAAACGUUUGUGACGUGGAGUAACCAAGCUGUGGGAUUGGCUAUAAUUAACUGUCCUACGUGGACACCUUAGAAUGCCAUGAUAUCUUGCUUUUAGUAGUGUUAGAUAAAAGGGUUUGAAUCCCUCCUAGGGUGUCCACCUAGGAUUCCACCUCACUGAUUCGUCUACCUAGGAUUCCACCUCACUGAUUCGUGCAUCCUGGAGCUGCCAUGUGUCCCUCUCCUAAAUACGCUGCGUUUCAUUAAUUGUUGCAUGAUAUGACUGGGCUUAAUUUGGUUUGUGGGCUUCAUUUGUUGCUUAAUCAACUUAGCCGAUCGCGAGAAACCUAAGCCUCUCAAUCUGGGUCGCAUCAAAUUUUAGGAGUUCACUGUAUUCUUUCUUCUUCGUUAUCUAAACCGCCAUUGGAGUACCCAGGAGAUUUCUGCGAAAUGAAUCUUUAUGGCGACUCUCUGGAUCGAGCAGAUUUUGUGACGUUUAGUAUGAGUUUCUUCUUCUCUAACCCGUUACGAACUUCAAAAGGGUUAAUGGUCCGUAAUAAACAUUGCUUCAUUCGUUUUUUUUGUUUGAGGUGGCCUCCUUCACUAACCAUCAAUCUAUAGUUGUAAACCCUAUCUUUUCGCCAACUACCUACGGCCUUCGUCUACCUCUAACUUCUCGGUGUUGCUACCGAUUCCGAUUCUCUUAUGCGUCAACUACUUCCCACCUCUAAAGAGUCAUAAAGUUUAUCUAUUUACUGCAACAAUCCAACGACAUGAAUUUAUUUCAAUGACAUCACCUCCACCCUAUAUAUAUCAUUCAUUGUUGCUUCUCACCUUACCGAAUCACGCUAAGCAAAUUAUCAGAGGAAACGAUGGAAACCAGAUCGGCAAAAUCUCCCGGAAAUGUACUUAAACCUCUGUUCUUCAGUGAUGUUAUGCUGGUUUGGGACCGUCUGAGCUACGCUUUUGAUUGAAAUAUGUUCUGGGAAGCAAGGAAAACAACAAAAGGUUGUGUUGUCCAGCGUUUCAUUUCUUCAAACCGUGUAGCCCGUUACGAAGAUCACUUAAAGCGUGGAAAGACCUACAGUCGUUGCUUCAGGGUGUAUCAAGAAAGUUGUCUGGUGAUAUUUAUAUGAUCGACGGUGAAGAGUUUUGGCUUGGAUGAUUUCUGCCCAGGUUUGACUCGGAACGAGUUUGAUCUCUAUAUGAAGGAAUAAGACAAAUUUUAUAUCAAUUUGAGUGGUGCUAAUUAUCUAUAAUAUUAAAAUAUAUUGGUGGGCUUGAAUCAGCUGUUGAGAUAACGCACUGAGACGAACUAGACUCGAGGCUACGAAGGAGAAGGAGAUGGCGGUUAAAAGGUGGGGUGGUGUGAGUUGUUCUACCAAGUCAUGAGUCAUCCCGAUUGGAAUUUGAGUUCAAGACUGUAAUCUGUAAAUGUAAAUAAGGAGAAGAACAUUUUGUCUGAUGAAAAGAAAGAUAAUGUGAGCUGACUUUUUGACUCAAGAAAAAAUGAAAUUCAUGGAAUAAUAUAACUCAUAAUAUAUAUAUAUAUAUAUAUUUUUUCUAUAAAUAGUUAAAAAAUAAUAAGCAGAAAAAUAGUGAUAUCUGCUUAUGAUUUUUUAACGUAUAACAAAGUCAACGAAAAAACAAGGUCAAUGAAAACUAUGAUACGCUUUGUUAAAUAUAUAAUUAAUUAAUCAAAUAUAAGAAAACUAAUGUUAAAUAUAUAUAUUAACAAUCCCUACUAUUUAAAAUCUUUAAUGGGUUAUUCGGAUAACAUGAUUAUUUAGUAUUAAAUGUUAUAACAUAUAAAAUAUUUAGUGGUGUACGUUUUAAAUGAUAACAGCAAAAGAAAAGUACCACUCAAUAUUAGGUUUUUGUGGUGUUUACUUAAUUUAGAUAUUUUUCUAUUUCACAAAAACGAAUAAUAGUACUUUUAGUUUUAAAAUAAAUUCAUUUACACAUUAUCUAAACUACUAUUUUCGGAAAAAUAAACUAGGGCUGUUAUAUAUGGUAAAACCGAACCGUACCGAACCGAACCGAACCAAAAUAGAUAAUAUAGUUUGGUUUUGGUAUAUACCAUAUAAACCAAAUGGAUAUAAUUUUAUAAAAACCAUAGGAUUUGGAUAUGGUUUGGUAUAUAACCGAUUAAACCGAAUAAACCGAACUAAACCGAUUAAAAGUAGAAACAUGUAAAUAUGUAUCUAUUUUAUAACAAUACAUGAAAAUCUAUUUGUUACAUAAGUUAAAUUUGUGUUAAUAACUAUUACCAUAAUUUUAUAGUAAUAAAGAACCUUAAUUUGUAAAACACUUGAACUAUAAUUAAAUAACAAUACAUUGCAAUUUAGACAUCUUAUUUUCGAAGUCUUUUUUGAUCUUUUUGCUUUAUUUUAGUCUUCACUAAAUUAAUAUGAUGAUUAUAAAUUUGAUGGACAAUAAAUAAUGGAAAAUUUUCACAAUUU
This is a long non-coding RNA of Brassica rapa (field mustard), 2965 nucleotides long. RefSeq lists it as uncharacterized. NCBI's taxonomy places the organism in Eukaryota, Viridiplantae, Streptophyta, Magnoliopsida, Brassicales, Brassicaceae. The record is from RefSeq and is a predicted model, not a curated record.